ACCUACGGGGGGCAGCAGUGAGGAAUAUUGGUCAAUGGGCGCGAGCCUGAACCAGCCAAGUCGCGUGAGGGAAGACGGUCCUAUGGAUUGUAAACCUCUUUUGUCGGGGAGCAAAAGACGCCACGCGUGGCGUUCCGAGAGUACCCGAAGAAAAAGCAUCGGCUAACUCCGUGCCAGCAGCCGCGGUAAUACGGAGGAUGCGAGCGUUAUCCGGCUUUAUUUGGUUUAAUGGGUGCGCAGGCGGACGCUCUAGUCAGCGUGACAAUUGAGAGGCUCAACCUCUUC
Molecule: ribosomal RNA, 285 nt
Filed under: uncultured bacterium
Lineage: Bacteria
Description: partial 16S ribosomal RNA
Rfam family: Bacterial small subunit ribosomal RNA
Source: RNAcentral